UUCAGAAUGGAUAACUUUAAUAAAUAAUAAUAAAAACAUCACACACCAAAGUGAAAUAACCAUUUCGUAAACAUCAUAUUAGUAUUUAAGCAUAAGGACAGGCAGGUAGACCGAUAAAACCCAUAAAUUGGCUCCCAGCAAGUGACAAACUGAACCUGCAUAUACUGGGAAGGAAGCACUGAAUACACUUACUCCAGUUCAUGCUACUUUACUGAGAGCAAGUUUUGGCUCCCAAAAUGGAGUCCGGACAGGACAAAAUGGCUGCCACCAUGUUCAGCAAAUUCAGAACCAUCACCUCUUAUUCCUUGCUCAUUUUAACAGAUAUACCUGCAGGACUGGAGGAGUAGAUGGCAGCUGCAGAGAUAAGAAAAGAAGAGUCGUUUCAUUGCCUGGAGAAGUCACUUCCGGAUUUGCAUGGAGAAGCCAUUUUCAAUGGACCCCAGCUUACAGAAGCACUCAGCUAUGCUGAGUAGGAGAGUACUUUGGAGGCAUCAGUCUUCUGUAAGAGAACAGUCCCCUGGAAGAAUCCUCUUAUCUGAAGAGCUGUCCGGUCCAAGGCUUAUAUUAAGAUAAUGAAACCUAAGAAGGAGAGUGUUGACGUUUCCCAUCAGUAGUCAGGCUGCUUGCCAGAGGACGUGAGAAACUGAGCAGACUUGGCCAGAAGCUCUUAUGAAAGAAGAGCGUUUUCUCAUGAUGGAUAUGCUGAGAAAGACCUCUUUGCCCCAGAAAGCAACCUAGAGGAAGCAGAGGGCAGGAUAAGCAGCUGGAGUUUCCAGGCUGUUUCCAGAGGCCAACCAGUUUCCAUCUUGCCUGGGCUUUCACCUCCUCUUCUAGUUGAGGACUGCAAUGGGCAUUAGAGUUCUUUUAAAAAGUAUCUUGAAUGUUGGAAAAGAUUGGCGAAUGUUGGAAUAGAUUGGAAUAGAUUGGACAAAAUACAGAUAUCUUAGACCAGAAGUCCUUCCUCCAGGUGGGGUAGCUGUGCUGGUGGUGCACUCCCCUACUCCAGGUUUGAAAUCCAUGCUGCCAGGUGCAGAAAUUGAGAACGGAAGGAUUUAUAAAAUCACCGCAAAGGAAAGCGGAGAACAACACAGAAAAGGAAGAAGGUGGAUUGCCUCACCACUACUCACUUUAAA
Podarcis muralis (Common wall lizard) is the source of this 1133-nucleotide long non-coding RNA. RefSeq lists it as uncharacterized. Lineage: Eukaryota; Metazoa; Chordata; Lepidosauria; Squamata; Lacertidae. The record is from RefSeq and is a predicted model, not a curated record.